RNAcentral lists this ribosomal RNA (254 nucleotides) under uncultured bacterium. Its description in RNAcentral is "partial 16S ribosomal RNA". It matches the Rfam family "Bacterial small subunit ribosomal RNA", at positions 524 to 775 of the family's 1533-position model. The record is from RNAcentral.
UACGUAGGGUGCGAGCGUUUAAUCGGAAUUACUGGGCGUAAAGCGUGCGCAGGCGGUUUUGUAAGCCAGAUGUGAAAUCCCCGGGCUUAACCUGGGAAUGGCAUUUGGGACUGCAAGGCUUGAGUGCGGCAGAGGAGACUGGAAUUCCUGGUGUAGCAGUGAAAUGCGUAGAUAUCAGGAGGAACACCGGUGGCGAAGGCGGGUCUCUGGGCCGGUAACUGACGCUGAGGAGCGAAAGCGUGGGGAGCGAACAG